This 449-nucleotide ribosomal RNA is filed under the name uncultured bacterium. RNAcentral's name for it is "partial 16S ribosomal RNA". It matches the Rfam family "Bacterial small subunit ribosomal RNA", at positions 29 to 523 of the family's 1533-position model. The record is from RNAcentral.
AACGAACGCUGGCGGCAGGCUUAACACAUGCAAGUCGAACGAGAUCUUCGGAUCUAGUGGCAGACGGGUGAGGAACACGUGGGAACAUCCCUUUCAGUUCGGAAUAACGUUGGGAAACUAACGCUAAUACCGGAUACGUCCUUCGGGAGAAAGAUUUAUCGCUGAAAGAUUGGCCCGCGUCUGAUUAGCUAGUUGGUGAGGUAACGGCUCACCAAGGCUACGAUCAGUAGCUGAUCUGAGAGGAUGAUCAGCCACAUUGGGACUGAGACACGGACCAACCUCCAACGGGAGGCAGCAGUGGGGAAUAUUGGACAAUGGGCGCAAGCCUGAUCCAGCCAUGCCGCGUGAGUGAUGACGGCCUUCGGGUUGUAAAGCUCUUUUGUCCGGGAAGAUAAUGACUGUACCGGAAGAAUAAGCCCCGGCAAACUUCGUGCCAGCCGCCGCGGUAA